GAUGAACGCUGGCGGCGUGCCUAAUACAUGCAAGUCGAGCGAACAGACGAGGAGCUUGCUCCUCUGACGUUAGCGGCGGACGGGUGAGUAACACGUGGAUAACCUACCUAUAAGACUGGGAUAACUUCGGGAAACCGGAGCUAAUACCGGAUAAUAUAUUGAACCGCAUGGUUCAAUAGUGAAAGACGGUUUUGCUGUCACUUAUAGAUGGAUCCGCGACGCAUUAGCUAGUUGGUAAGGUAACGGCUUACCAAGGCAACGAUGCGUAGCCGACCUGAGAGGGUGAUCGGCCACACUGGAACUGAGACACGGUCCAGACUCCUACGGGAGGCAGCAGUAGGGAAUCUUCCGCAAAGGGCGAAAGCCUGACGGAGCAACGCCGCGUGAGUGAUGAAGGUCUUCGGAUCGUAAAACUCUGUUAUUAGGGAAGAACAAAUGUGUAAGUAACUAUGCACGUCUUGACGGUACCUAAUCAGAAAGCCACGGCUAACUACGUG
This 497-nucleotide ribosomal RNA is filed under the name uncultured bacterium. Its description in RNAcentral is "partial 16S ribosomal RNA". It matches the Rfam family "Bacterial small subunit ribosomal RNA", at positions 28 to 507 of the family's 1533-position model. The record is from RNAcentral.